RNA transcript from Labrus mixtus (cuckoo wrasse), 5330 nucleotides. It is a transcript of the gene named NACHT, LRR and PYD domains-containing protein 12-like, with no coding region annotated. The record is from RefSeq and is a predicted model, not a curated record. The transcript is spliced from 13 exons. NCBI's taxonomy places the organism in Eukaryota, Metazoa, Chordata, Actinopteri, Labriformes, Labridae.
CUGACAGUGAGGUGAUGAUGAUGAAGGUGAACCAGGUAGAUGUGAUGUUUGUAGACUGACAGUGAGGUGAUGAUGAUGAUGAAGGUGAACCAGGUAGAUGUGAUGUUUGUAGACUGACAGUGAGGUGAUGAUGAUGAUGAUGAUGAUGAAGGUGAACCAGGUAGAUGUGAUGUUUGUAGACUGACAGUGAGGUGAUGAUGAUGAUGAAGGUGAACCAGGUAGAUGUGAUGUUUGUAGACUGACAGUGAGGUGAUGAUGAUGAUGAUGAAGGUGAACCAGGUAGAUGUGAUGUUUGUAGACUGACAGUGAGGUGAUGAUGAUGAUGAUGAUGAUGGUGAACCAGGUAGAUGUGAUGUUUGUAGACUGACAGUGAGGUGGUGAUGAUGAUGAUGAUGAUGAUGAAGGUGAACCAGGUAGAUGUGAUGUUUGUAGACUGACAGUGAGGUGAUGAUGAUGAUGAUGAAGGUUAACCAGGUAGAUGUGAUGUUUGUAGACUGACAGUGAGGUGGUGAUGAUGAUGAUGAUGAUGAUGAUGAUGAUGAUGAUGAUGAUGAAGGUGAAUCAGCAGCUUCAUCUCUUUGUUUUCUCCACAGCUGAAGAUCUUUGACUGGAUGUGACUUCAUCAGCUGAACUCCAUCAGUGUUGUUGUAGUGACAGAGUGCAGCUCUUCCAGCAGGGGGCGCUCUGCUAUGAAUCAGUGUGAGGACACAGAGGUCCCUCCCUCUAAAACCUCUCUGUGUGAGGAACAUGAAGCUCUGAGGAUGCAGGAACAGAGACCAGACUCUCCUGGACCCAGCUGUGUGUCCAUGAAGAGUGACCAGUCUAAACUUCUUCCUAUCUUCUUUAAAGAUGGACGUCCAGCUGAUGGAAGGGGGACGAAGAGGACUCAUGUUAUAGAGGAGCAGCCGUCCUGUGCUGAGUGUCAGGACGUCCUGAAGGAUCCCGUCUCUACCAGCUGUGGACACUGGUUCUGCAGACAGUGCAUCACCUCAUACUGGGACCAGUCUGGUUCACCAGGAGACUCGUCCUGUUCUCAGUGUGUAAAAAGAUCCAGAACAGGACCUGGACUGCAGCCAGUCAGUCAGAGCCGCACUGAACAAAUAGAUAGAGGUCUGCAGGAGGUUUUAGAUGAACAUAAGGUCAGUCUGAGGACGAGAUGUGAACGUGUGACUGAAGGAAGUGAUGAAACAGGAAGUAGAACCCUCCUCAACAGGAUCUACACUGAGCUCUACAUCACAGAGGGACAGAGUGAAGAGGUGAACACCCAACAUGAGGUGAGACAGAUUGAGACAGACUCUAAAAAGAAGACCCUCCAUGAGACUCCAAUCAAGUGCCAGGACAUAUUUAAAGCCUUACCCGACCAACAGAAACAAAAGACAGAAGCUCAACAGAAUCACAUCAGAGUGGUUCUGACAAACGGCGUCGCUGGUGUUGGAAAAACCUUCUCAGUGCAGAAGUUCACUCUGGACUGGGCAGAGGGCUCAGAGAACCAAGACAUCAGUCUGGUGAUCCUGCUUUCAUUCAGGGAGCUGAACUUGAUCAGAGAUAAGCAGUACAGUCUUCUUGAGCUGCUCCGUGUUUUUCAUCCAACAUUACAGAAGAUCACAGCAGAGACGCUCGCUGUCUGUAAACUAUUGUUCAUCUUUGACGGCCUGGAUGAAAGCAGACUGUCGUUGGACUUCACAAACAGGGAGGUUGUGUCUGAUGUCACACAGAAUUCAUCAUUAAACCCACUGUUCACAAACCUCAUCAAGGGGAAUCUGCUCCCUUCCGCUCUCAUCUGGAUAACUUCUCGACCUGCAGCAGCCAAUCACAUCCCUCAUUCAUGUGUUGACAGGAUUACAGAAGUACGAGGCUUCACUGAUUCCCAGAAAGAAGAGUACUUCAGGAGGAGGUUCAGUGAUGAUGAAGAUCUGUCCAGCAGAAUCAUCUCACACGUCAAGACAUCCAGGAGCCUCCAAAUUAUGUGUCUGAUCCCAGUCUUCUGCUGGAUCACUGCCACAGUUCUGGAGCACAUGAUGACCACAGAGCAGAGAGGAGAGCUGCCCAAGACCCUAACUGACCUGUACUCACACUUCCUGCUGGUCCAGACAAAGAGACAGAAGCACAAGUAUGAUGAGGGACGUGAGAUGAGUCCACAUGAGCUGAUUGAGGCCGACAGGGAAGUUCUUCUGAAGCUGGGGAGGCUGGCGUUUGAACAUCUGGAGCAAGGAAACAUCAUGUUCUACCAAGAAGACCUGGAGCGGUGUGGUCUGGAUGUCACAGAGGCCUCAGUGUACUCAGGAGUUUGUACUGAGAUCUUCAAAAGAGAGUGUGUGAUCCUCCAGAAAACAGUCUACUGCUUUGUUCAUCUGAGCGUUCAGGAGUUUCUGGCUGCAGUCUACAUGUUCCGCUGUUUCACCAACAGGAACACAACAGUUCUGAAGGCUUUUCUGGGAGAAACAUCUGUAGAUUCAACUCUUGAUGUUCUCCUAAAUGAAGCAAUGGAGAAAUCCCUGAAAAGUCAGAACGGUCAUCUGGACCUGUUUGUUCGCUUCCUUCAUGGUCUCUCUCUGGAGUCAAACCAGAGAAUCUUAGGAGGCCUUCUGGGUCAGACAGACAACAUUCCAGAAAUGAUCCAGAGAGUCAUCAACAACCUGAAGAAGAUGAACAGUUAUGAAAUCUCUCCAGACAGAAGCAUCAAUAUCUUCCACUGUCUGAUGGAGAUGAACGACCUCUUAGUCCAUCAGGAGAUCCAAGAGUUACUGAAGUCAAAGAACGGAUCAGAGAAGGAACUCUCUGAGAUCCACUGCUCUGCUCUGGCCUACAUGCUGCAGAUGUCCGAGGAGGUUCUGGAUGACUUGGACCUGAAGAAGUACACCACAUCAGACCAGGGACGACGGAGACUGAUUCCAGCUGUGAGGAACUGCAGGAAGGCUAAACUUUCUGACUGUGACCUCUCAGAGACUCACUUUGACGUUGUGGCCUCAGCUCUGAAGUCCAACCCCUCCCACCUCAGAGAGCUGGACCUGAGCCUCAUCAAGCUGGAGGAUUCAGGAGUGAAGCUGUCUGCUGGACUGCAGAGUCCAAACUGCAGACUUGAGUCACUGAGAUUGAGGGAAUGCAGUUUGUCAGAGAGCAGCUGUUCUUCUCUGGCCUCCGCUCUGAAGUCCAACCCCUCCCAUCUCAGACAGCUGGACCUGAGUGACAACAACCUGCAGGAUUCAGGAGUGAAGCUGCUGUGUGAUUAUCUGCAGAGUCCAAACUGUAGACUGGAGACUCUGAGAUUGAGUGUCUGCAGUAUAUCAGAGAUCAGCUGUUCUUCUCUAGCCUCAGCUCUGAAGUCCAACCCCUCCCAUCUCAGAGAACUGGACCUGUGUGUCAACGAGCUGCAGGAUUCAGGGGUGAAGCUGCUGUGUGAUUAUCUUCAGAGUCCAAACUGCAGACUGGAGACUCUGAGAUUGAGAUGGUGCAGUUUGUCAGAGAUCAGCUGUUCUUCUCUGGCCUCAGCUCUGAAGUCCAACCCCUCCCAUCUCAGAGAGCUGGACCUGAGCAUCAACAACCUGCAGGAUUCAGGAGUGAAGCUGCUGUGUGAUUAUCUGCAGAGUCCAAACUGUAGACUGGAGACUCUGAGAUUGAGUGACUGCAGUUUGUCAGAGAUCAGCUGUUCUUAUCUGGCCUCAGCUCUGAAGUCCAACCCCUCCCAUCUCAGAGAGCUGAACCUGAGUGAGAACAAGCUGCAGGAUUUAGGGGUGAAGCUGCUGUGUGACUAUUUUCAGAGUCCAAACUGCAGACUGCAGACUCUGAGAUUGAGUCUCUGCAGUUUGUCAGAGAUUAGCUGUUCUUCUCUGGCCUCAGCUCUGAAGUCCAACCCCUCCCAUCUCAGAGAGCUGUACCUGAACUACAAUAAGCUGCAGGAUUCAGCAGUGAAGCUGCUGUGUGAUCUUAAGAAGAAUCCAAACUAUCGCCUCCAGACUCUGAGGAUUCUAUCUAACAAAGACUGUGUUGGGUCAACCAAAGCCUGGAGGUUGUUUUGUUCUCUGAGGAGAAAGUAGGACAGACCAACGCUGUGUGUGUCUCUGAGUGUGUGUGGCCAUGAAGCUCCCAUAACUCAUGUAAAAUCACUCACUCAGACACCAAUAGAAAACUGUUCUGUGGUUCACUGUCAAAGUACAAAGCUGGGCUGAUGAUCUCUGACAGAAUGUGAGCGAUCAGGACGCUGGUGGUGCAGAGAGGAGCAGCUGUGUCCUGAUGAUCCACAGAGGAUGAAUCUCCACCAUCUUGUGGGUGGAGAAAAUCUGCAAGCUUGGGAGAGCUUCAUCCAUCAACGACUGACAGAGGAAUCACAUCAAAGUUCAUUUCAGUUAUAUUUCUAAUGAAUUUGUUCUACCUACAUUACAGGAGUGGAAGGUAAAAAAUGUAUCAGCUGGUAGAAAUGUUAAGAGGUCAAAAGCUACCAAGAAAUGCUGCAGUUAUUCUUCUCAUGUGAUGAUUAUUUGUAUUAUAUUUCUUACAAAAAGUACAAACCAGAACUUGAUCAAAUGAACAUGUAAUUAAUUAAAAUCAUAUUCUCUCUAUAGCCUCUUUAAAAGAUGCACCGCAUUCUUAAAAUGUCCUGACCUUUUCAAGCUGAGCUGCAUGUGUGAACAGCGAGUUUCAUUUCAGACUACACAUUGGACGUUGGCUUGAGAAUUUGUUUUUGACACUGAUCAUUAAAAAAAUGUUGUUUAUAUGUUUCUCUUCUGGUCGGCAUCCUGCAUUAACUGCAUUAGAUGUUAAGAUCAAUGGUCGGUCAAUGAGUCAGGUUUCUGAGGUCUACUGCUGGAUUCUUGUCUGACAUUCCAAUUAUAGUCUGAGGAAAUCAGGCUAUUAUCACGAUUAUUUUUGCAUGAAUUUCACAACAUUACAUACAUGUAUAAAAUCCCAUAAACAGUAAAUGGUAAAUGGACUUGAGUUUGUAAAGCGCUUUUCUAGUCUUCUGACUUUUACAGCGCAGGUGCAAGGGAAUUUUGGUAAACUUAUCUUUAUAACAGGAGUAAUUAAAAGCAGAAAGGGGGGAAACUGGCUCUAUAUUUCAGGAAUUCCUGAAUCAGCUCUCUUUGACCUACCAACCUGGUAAUUACACUCUUUAAGAAAGGUGUGAUUGCCUUUAAGCAGAUGUUCUGCUAUUGAUUGUAUGUAGGUGUAGUUGUCUUCUGUAGUGUUUUAUUGUUUUAAAUGUUUUUUGAUAUAUUGAGAAUGUAGCAGGGAUUUCUGUAUUUAAGGUCAGUGUGAAAUACCCUUCUGGAGAGAAAAUCAUGGGAACUCUUUUCUCACCGAGAUCACGUUAAUUAAAGGUUCCCUGGGUCAUA